UCCUGGCUCAGGAUGAACGCUAGCUACAGGCUUAACACAUGCAAGUCGAGGGGAAACGACAUUGAAAGCUUGCUUUCGAUGGGCGUCGACCGGCGCACGGGUGAGUAACGCGUAUCCAACCUGCCCAUCACUUGGGGAUAACCUUGCGAAAGUAAGACUAAUACCCAAUGACGUCUCUAGAAGACAUCUGAAAGAGAUUAAAGAUUUAUCGGUGAUGGAUGGGGAUGCGUCUGAUUAGCUUGUUGGCGGGGUAACGGCCCACCAAGGCGACGAUCAGUAGGGGUUCUGAGAGGAAGGUCCCCCACAUUGGAACUGAGACACGGUCCAAACUCCUACGGGAGGCAGCAAUGAGGAAUAUUGGUCAAUGGACGAGAGUCUGAACCAGCCAAGUAGCGUGCAGGAUGACGGCCCUAUGGGUUGUAAACUGCUUUUAUAAGGGAAUAAAGUGAGUCUCGUGAGACCUUUUGCAUGUACUUUAUGAAUAAGGACCGGCUAAUUCCGUGCCAGCAGCCGCGGUAAUACGGAAGGUCCGGGCGUUAUCCGGAUUUAUUGGGUUUAAAGGGAGCGUAGGCCGGAGAUUAAGCGUGUUGUGAAAUGUAGAUGCUCAACAUCUGCACUGCAGCGCGAACUGGUUUCCUUGAGUACGCACAAAGUGGGCGGAAUUCGUGGUGUAGCGGUGAAAUGCUUAGAUAUCACGAAGAACUCCGAUUGCGAAGGCAGCUCACUGGAGCGCAACUGACGCUGAAGCUCGAAAGUGCGGGUAUCGAACAGGAUUAGAUACCCUGGUAGUCCGCACGGUAAACGAUGGAUGCCCGCUGUUGGUCUGAAUAGGUCAGCGGCCAAGCGAAAGCGUUAAGCAUCCCACCUGGGGAGUACGCCGGCAACGGUGCAACUCAAAGGAAUUGACGGA
RNAcentral lists this ribosomal RNA (910 nucleotides) under uncultured bacterium. RNAcentral's name for it is "bacterial SSU rRNA". It matches the Rfam family "Bacterial small subunit ribosomal RNA", at positions 17 to 917 of the family's 1533-position model. RNAcentral also lists the same sequence under 1 other name. The record is from RNAcentral.